RNAcentral lists this unclassified non-coding RNA (298 nucleotides) under Hevea brasiliensis (rubber tree). Lineage: Eukaryota; Viridiplantae; Streptophyta; Magnoliopsida; Malpighiales; Euphorbiaceae. The record is from RNAcentral.
AUACAUUCACAAAACAACUAAUAAAACAAAAAUCAUUGAAAGUAAUCAAAGAAUUAGGUUUUAUAAAAUUUGCAUAAAUUACUUCACCUAUUGGAAGUUUUAAAUUAGCUAUGACAAACAUAUAUUGAUCUUUAAUUAAAUUUCAACAAAUUUGAUCCAAAACCUUUUGAAGGUAAAUGAAAACUUUUAACAACAACACUGCAUUUGUUGCUCCACAGUGAUGACUAAAUACAUUUGCACAUAUGUGCAUCCUAGUGCCUGUAAAUUUUUGUUGUGUUGCACUGAGUUAUUAGCAAAA